This 584-nucleotide ribosomal RNA is filed under the name uncultured bacterium. RNAcentral describes it as "bacterial SSU rRNA". It matches the Rfam family "Bacterial small subunit ribosomal RNA", at positions 8 to 548 of the family's 1533-position model. The record is from RNAcentral.
AGAGUUUGAUCCUGGCUCAGGAUGAACGCCGGCGGUGUGCCUAAUACAUGCAAGUCGAGCGCACUGGCCCAACUGAUAUGACGUGCUUGCACUGAAUUGACGUUGGAUUACCAGUGAGCGGCGGACGGGUGAGUAACACGUGGGCAACCUGCCCUGAAGUGGGGGAUAACAUCUGGAAACAGGUGCUAAUACCGCAUAACAACGAAAACCACAUGGUUUUCGUUUCAAAGAUGGUUUCGGCUAUCACUUCAGGAUGGGCCCGCGGUGCAUUAGCUAGUUGGUAAGGUAACGGCUUACCAAGGCAAUGAUGCAUAGCCGAGUUGAGAGACUGAUCGGCCACAAUGGAACUGAGACACGGUCCAUACUCCUACGGGAGGCAGCAGUAGGGAAUCUUCCACAAUGGGCGCAAGCCUGAUGGAGCAACACCGCGUGAGUGAAGAAGGGUUUCGGCUCGUAAAGCUCUGUUGUUGGAGAAGAACGUGCGUGAGAGUAACUGUUCACGCAGUGACGGUAUCCAACCAGAAAGUCACGGCUAACUACGUGCCAGCAGCCGCGGUAAUACGUAGGUGGCAAGCGUUAUCCGG